This 455-nucleotide ribosomal RNA is filed under the name uncultured bacterium. Its description in RNAcentral is "bacterial SSU rRNA". It matches the Rfam family "Bacterial small subunit ribosomal RNA", at positions 340 to 786 of the family's 1533-position model. The record is from RNAcentral.
UACGGAAGGCAGCAGUGGGGAAUAUUGCACAAUGGGCGCAAGCCUGAUGCAGCCAUGCCGCGUGUAUGAAGAAGGCCUUCGGGUUGUAAAGUACUUUCAGUCGUGAGGAAGGUGUUAAGGUUAAUAACCUUAGCAAUUGACGUUAGCGACAGAAGAAGCACCGGCUAACUCCGUGCCAGCAGCCGCGGUAAUACGGAGGGUGCGAGCGUUAAUCGGAAUUACUGGGCGUAAAGGGCACGCAGGCGGUUAAUUAAGUUGGAUGUGAAAUCCCCGGGCUUAACCUGGGAAUGGCAUUCAAGACUGGUUAGCUAGAGUCUUGUAGAGGGGGUAGAAUUCCAUGUGUAGCGGUGAAAUGCGUAGAGAUGUGGAGGAAUACCGGGUGGCGAAGGCGGCCCCUGGGACAAAGACUGACGCUCAUGUGUGAAAGCGUGGGGAGCAAACGAGGAUUAGAUACC